RNAcentral lists this ribosomal RNA (273 nucleotides) under uncultured soil bacterium. RNAcentral describes it as "partial 16S ribosomal RNA". It matches the Rfam family "Bacterial small subunit ribosomal RNA", at positions 1115 to 1388 of the family's 1533-position model. The record is from RNAcentral.
UUACCAGCGGUUUGGCCGGGAACUCUAAGGAUACUGCCAGUGACAAACCGGAGGAAGGUGGGGAUGACGUCAAGUCAUCAUGGCCCUUACGGCCUGGGCUACACACGUGCUACAAUGGUCGGUACAAAGGGUUGCCAAGCCGCGAGGUGGAGCUAAUCCCAUAAAACCGAUCGUAGUCCGGAUCGCAGUCUGCAACUCGACUGCGUGAAGUCGGAAUCGCUAGUAAUCGUGAAUCAGAAUGUCACGGUGAAUACGUUCCCGGGCCUUGUACAC